This is a long non-coding RNA of Papaver somniferum (opium poppy), 1500 nucleotides long. RefSeq lists it as uncharacterized. The record is from RefSeq and is a predicted model, not a curated record. NCBI's taxonomy places the organism in Eukaryota, Viridiplantae, Streptophyta, Magnoliopsida, Ranunculales, Papaveraceae. The transcript has 3 exons.
AGGACCCAAUUUUCUUUCGGUCCAGAUAUUGAAACCAUAAAAACCCCAAAUUUCCCCCUUUUUUCUCUUACGAUUUAAAGGAUCCUUCGAAGGCGUUAAUAUUCAUGUGGAAUUUGUGGUAUCGAAAAUUAAAAUUCAGAAAUCACAUGAUCAGUUCCCUGGUAAUUCUGUCAAAACCUAAACAAAAACCGAAUACUAUUGUGUUUUUACUCCAAUGUUUUUAUCCUUGCAAUUCUGAUGGUCAAUUGUAUUUCUGCAACUGUGCAACAUUCACAAGAGUUUCAUUAUCAUUAUCACGAGAGUUUCAUAAUCAAUCGUGAGAAAUCGGUGUCUCGUUUUGGAUUGACUUCCCGCAUUUUCCUCUUCCGAAUGUUUGGCAGGUGACAUCCUGUUCCACAUGCAUGUCAUUAGAUCCCUCGUUUGCCGGCACAAAUCUAUAUUACUGUUUUAACGAUUUAUCUUGGUGAUAGAGAUGAUCAUCCUUGUGUCAGCAUAUUCCAAUGCAAUGACCAUUUUUUGAGAACCAUCUUUAUGCAUCUUUCCCGUCCCACUGCUUCCAAACGUGUUUCUUUGCUGGAUGUUCAAUCCCUUAAAUAGCCGUAAUAAGUCUUCAGAAAGUGGUGUCUUGUUGUACUCUCGUUCUUCAUGGUUGAUCCUGUUUUCUUUAUUUUGUCGAAGAAGAAUAUCCUCGGAUGGUAGUCUCCAAUAUUCUGGUUCCACAGUUCCGCUGGAUUUUUUUACUUCGCAAAACAAUAAUAGUGUAUGACAUUUCACGUAAUGUAAGAACUUGAUGGAUCCCCAAGAACUUGCCUCUUCAAUCACUUCUUGUCGUUCAUGGUCGUCAUCCAUAUUUCUAGGAUUUGGGAAUGUAAACUGAGGUUUUGCUGAUUGAGUUGGUUAGUCUGUGUAUUUACAAUUUGCGAAACGAUGUGAUAUCCCCACAGGUCAUAAUUAGAGGUUGCGACUGUAUCCAGAUGGUAUGCGACUUUUCUUUGAUUCUGUAAGACGGAAUUUGAAGAGAUACGAAUUGUAUCUAACAGUUAAUCACUAUGGGGUGUUCGUUUGGAGUCUUCCAAACCGAUGAAGGUUCUGCAUCCCUGAAAGGAUGCUAUCUUUGGAAAGUGACUCUUCAAAUGGCCAAAUGGAUCGGACUCCUGAAUAAGUGGUUAGUGGUGGCUAAUAAGACGUUGCUGGCAAGGAAAGCUAUCACUGAUGUGGCUUCAUCAUAUUCAAGAUUGAUUGUGGGUACGACAUGUGGUUUUUUGGGAUCUCUUAUUAUAAAGAAAGAUGGAUAAAAUCGUGUACAUCACAAAUUAUUUUAGGAUAAAACUAGUUUUAUCCUAGUUUAAACAUGGAUGGAAACAAAUAUAACUGAAUCUAAAACAGGAUGAUACCAGUUUCGUACUUGUUUAAACUGGAUGAAACAAAUUCAACCAAAUCUAAAAUAAGAUGCAAUCAGUUUCAUGUUAGUUAAAUAUGAAUGAAAAUAAAUUUAACCAA